This is a long non-coding RNA of Haplochromis burtoni (Burton's mouthbrooder), 1092 nucleotides long. RefSeq lists it as uncharacterized. NCBI's taxonomy places the organism in Eukaryota, Metazoa, Chordata, Actinopteri, Cichliformes, Cichlidae. The record is from RefSeq and is a predicted model, not a curated record.
CGGCCAUUCAACGAUAGUGCACCCUCGACCUCACAAACGACGCAGCACUUGGAAUCCAGCAAUGCACCUGGACCAAGUAGACCUGCCGUCUCCACUGGGAUACCAUACUGCUCGGUUCCUCAAGCUCAUGCUACGCGCUCACAUUUUGUGAGAAAAAACAAGACCUGCAAACACUAUACAAAAGAUGUUGUGUGCUUGCCCUUGUCUUCAGCAUCAACGUUUCUCAUACCGAGAGGGGAUUCACGAGCAAAACUAGCACAAGAUGGCCUUAUUGGGAAGAUCUCCUUUACAUCUGACUGGUCUGAAGCACAACUUAGAGAAGAAAUAGCAGCAAUCUUCAGAAGAACAUUUGCACUGUCAACUGGCCAGACAUUCCCUUUUGAGUAUUUGAGUACAAUUAGAGGAUGUAAACGACUAAUGAAACCAAAUGUUUCUAGCAGUUUUCUUUGGGGUGGCCAAGAAGUUGGCUCGAUUUGUUCCACCACCUGCCUCUAUAUAAUGGCAGGGAUACAAAAACCUGCACAGGAGGAACCAGAAGAGCUGUCUGACAGUGACUUUGAAAGUCCAGUCUGCCGGAGAAGACGAGUGCAUCAUGCGUUGUCUACAACACCAGGUGAAAGUGAGGCCAAGCAUCAGGAAACAGAGAGCUGCAUUCAAGAGAGUGAAAAUGAGGGCCAGGCAGAGGGACAGCAGAUGUUUCCAUAUAAUGUGGCAGAAUUUGUCCCUAUUUUUCUGGAGGAAGAUGAAGCUCUUGAAGAGGCAAUUCAGCGUAGCCUCCUAGAAGAGUCUGAUAGACAGAGUGAAGUUCAUAUUUCAAGGUCUUUUAAGAAGCUCAGCAAAGAAGAAAUUGAAGGUCUUCUUAGAGCUCAUAGUGAGAAAGUCAUUACACCAGGAACAAGACAACUCCAUAUCAGUCGAGCCAAUGUGUGGUCGACUGCUUUGCGUCAGUUCAAGAGACCCAAGUUUGCAGAAAGCUGUGAGAUGCUUUAUGUCACAUUUGCAAGCGAUGAACAUGAUACAGAGGAAGAUGCUGCUGACCUUGGGGGGCCAAGGCGGGAGUUUUUCCGUUUACUGGUGAAGGCCAUCUUUCAG